RNAcentral lists this ribosomal RNA (996 nucleotides) under Triticum aestivum (bread wheat). RNAcentral's name for it is "partial small subunit ribosomal RNA". The record is from RNAcentral. Lineage: Eukaryota; Viridiplantae; Streptophyta; Magnoliopsida; Poales; Poaceae.
AUGGGAGAGCGCUCCCGAGGAGGAUGCAGAUCGGCGGCCGGAGGGAGAGCCCUCCACGACGAGGACGCGGAUCGGCGGGCGGAGGGAGAGGCCGCCCCGAUGAGGAUGCCGAUUGGUGGCCGGAUGGACAGCUCUUCCCGGCGAGCCGUAAGACUGCCCCAAAAACUCACGUUCCUGCCAAAAUCCAUACUGCGGUUCAAGAUUCGCGGCCGCAGGUCGUGCGACUGCGGCUCAAAUUUUCCGAUUGGCGGCAAGAACUCCACUGUGCGCCAUCCGGCGAUGCACACAUCCACGUUGACGCCGCCGUGUACUGUUGAACCAAGCGAGAUGAUGACUCCAGAUCCCAGCACAAGAUACAUACAUGGUAACCAAGUCCGUGAAGAUUUUGUCCCAAAGGAAAAUAUGGCUUUCGUCACCGAUGAGGAAGGGUAUGAAUUUUAUCAAAAAUAUGCAAGAUUAGCAGGUUUUGGUAUUACCAAGCUCAAGCGGAAGCCGAUGUCGCGUCUGUAUGCAUGCUCCCGGGGAGGUGCCAGUACAUUUUACAAGCCUGGGGAGGAACGCAAACGUGCGAAAAUGUCCAAGAAGGUUAACUGUGGGGCAGCUGUUAAAAUCAAGAAAAGGGGGAAAGAAUGGAUAUAUGAGAAAGUGAUGUUGGAGCACAAUCAUACUCUGAAUCCUAAUCCAUCUGAAUUGAAGCACAUGUAUUCACAUAAGAACAAAGAUCCUCUUAUCAUGGAGGUUGUUGAUGAUCUGCAGACCUGUGACGUCUCUCCUAAUACAACAAUGAAUGUGUUGACCCAUUUUCAUGGCAACUAUGAGGUCAUGCCAAUGAAUGAUCAUGACUUGCGAAAUAGAAGAGCAGCCAAUGUACUUAAGAAGCGAGCUGAUGAUGUAAAAAAACUUAGGGCCUUCUUCAAUGAGUUCAAAGCAUAUAACAGUAAAUUCUAUUAUGAUAUAGAGGAUGACUCUGAGGGUGUUACGAAGAAUAUAUUCUAG